Molecule: transfer RNA, 69 nt
Filed under: Nanorana taihangnica (Taihangshan swelled-vented frog)
Lineage: Eukaryota; Metazoa; Chordata; Amphibia; Anura; Dicroglossidae
Description: tRNA-Lys
Source: RNAcentral
CAUUAAGAAGCUAUAAGUUCAGCGACAACCUUUUAAGUUGUAGAUAGGUGCUUACACCCACCUUAAUGA